UCUUUUAUUUUUCGACCCGGCGCAUUUGGCCCAUGACCCCCCCCAGGACCCCCUUGGACAAUGUUCCCCCCCGGGCAAGGUCCCGCCUGACCCCUGUCCAACUGGUCCAUCAGAGAGUCCUGUGAGCCCUCUACCCAACCAUAUGCCCAACAUUGUCCAGGGGGCACGGGGGCCUUUGUGGAUUAGCCCCCAACUUUGGCGCGGACCAAAUUGGCGCAGGGCCAAAUUGAUGUGCAGGUGAGGGUAAAAGAUGUUAUCGUAGCUGCACAUCAAUUUGGCCCCUUGGGGUAUGGUCCCGGUACCGAGGGGUGACGCUGGACCAAUUUUGGGGCAUUUUUGGGGGGUGUCACCACAGACCCUCAACUUUGCGCACGGGGGGUACCCAAAUUUAAGUGGAUUGUAAGUAAAAUUCACUUAAAAUUGACCAAAGUCGAGGCGCAAAGUUGGGGUGGUGACGGGGUGACACUAAAAAAAAUAAAAAAAUUAUUUUUUGAUUUCUUUAUUUUUUUAGUGUCACCGUGUCACCAGUCACCAUUUACGAUACUUUCCGGGAAAUUUCCGGAAUUUUAUGAAAUUUUCGGAAAAGUUGCAUUUUUGGUGAAUUAGUGUCUGUGAAAUUUUGGCCAGAGGACUGUCGUGAUGUCCGAGUUCCCAAAUUGGGACUUAUUGGACAUCGCUCUGAAAACGCCCACGGCGUUUCAGAUGACCGACAUUUCGAUGUAUUCUGGGUAUUUGAUAGCUGCCAAAUCGGUCAGCGUCGAAUAUUCCAAUACUUCGAAGGAUCCAUGAUAUUGCGAAAUAUCAUUGAAUUUCAUGGGGUUUUGUAUUAGUACCCGCUCAUUGUGGGAAAGUCGGGUGGAUUUAUUCAACCCGCAAAUCUAAUACAAGAUUUGCAUGAUGCAGCAACUGACCGAGGUUAGUAUAGCAGCUGUAUUUAUACGGCUCCCGCUAUGCAGACCCAUCGUGUUAGUGGUUGCGACUCUUGGCGUGAACCGAAAGACCGGACCUCGCUUUCGAGUAUUCAUCUAGGUGAAUACAAGAUUGCAAGGGUAUCGCCUUGUGCGAUAUAUCGUGAUCAUCAGAGCACGCUACGACUUCUGAAGAUCCUCUGGGUACUCGGAAGCUCGCAAGCAUUGCAUGAUGCAAUC
This 1148-nucleotide unclassified non-coding RNA is filed under the name Perkinsus sp. ex Ruditapes variegatus. RNAcentral's name for it is "nontranscribed spacer". The record is from RNAcentral. Lineage: Eukaryota; Perkinsozoa; Perkinsida; Perkinsidae.